CCUGGUCUACCUGCUGGUGAAAACUGAUCUUUGUUUAGAAGGGGAAGUCUAGAAUGCUGAAACACUGGAAGAUGUAAAUAUGGCGAAUCAAGUUUAUGGUGGAGAUUCUAGCCAAUGGGGAUUAAGCUCUGUUGCCAUCAAGUCAUCUCUCGGCUCACGCAUACAGGUGAAUAGCAACUGAGACCUGCAACUGCCUUGUUCUCACUGUGAUGAAGCUUCACCUUCCCAGCAUGUGAUGCCACCUUGUCAAUAGGUCAGUCUCCAUCCCCUUGCUGACCAUGUCUUCUGUCCAGGAUAGCUCCUCCAUCUCUAGAGCAGGAUCAUGCUCAUCUGCAGUUCCAUCUCCCAUCAUGUAUCACAAGUACAAACAGAGACAUUACCAUCAAGCUCCUCCCACCUGAUGAAGCCAGAUUAAUCAAGGCCUCAGGUGCUUCCCAGUGUGAUGGGGGAAAUUAUUGACAAAGCAUUUCACUUAUGAAGAAUCACAUUAAACCUGUUAAUCACCUGCUUACUGCUUUACUGUAGGUGCAGGACUUGUUUAUAGGAGUUGCAGUGAUGUUUCCAACCAAUACUGUACAGUGCAGAAUGAAGUGUUAUAACCAUAUGUUCAUUAUAAACAUUUUACAGAAUGGGAAAGAAAUUGCUUUGGAAUUAUUUUGGGGGAAUAAAAAGGCAUCAAGUGAAAACCAAAGAAUAUUCCACUGCCUUAAAACAAACUGGGACAGGCUUCCCAUUGUCUUGCUGUCCUCCGUGC
This is a long non-coding RNA of Electrophorus electricus (electric eel), 754 nucleotides long. RefSeq lists it as uncharacterized. Lineage: Eukaryota; Metazoa; Chordata; Actinopteri; Gymnotiformes; Gymnotidae. The record is from RefSeq and is a predicted model, not a curated record.